Non-coding RNA from Acanthosepion pharaonis, 95 nucleotides. The record is from the annotation of a GenBank genome assembly. Lineage: Eukaryota; Metazoa; Mollusca; Cephalopoda; Sepiida; Sepiidae.
AUUGGAACACCAGUUCUCAUAUGAUCACCAAAGUUAAGCAACAUUGAGCUUAGUCAGUACCUAGAUGGGCAACUGCUUGGGAAUUCCAGGUGCCA